This 45-nucleotide non-coding RNA is filed under the name Trichobilharzia regenti. The record is from RNAcentral. Lineage: Eukaryota; Metazoa; Platyhelminthes; Trematoda; Strigeidida; Schistosomatidae.
AACUUACUGAAGAGUCCCAAAUGGGACGAAAUGCGCAUCCUAGAU